UACAGAGGGUGCGAGCGUUAAUCGGAAUUACUGGGCGUAAAGCGCACGUAGUCGGCUUUGCAAGUCGGUUGUGAAAUCCCCGGGCUCAACCUGGGAACUGCAUCCGAGACUGCAUUGCUAGAGUAUGGGAGAGGAAAGCGGAAUUUCUGGUGUAGCAGUGAAAUGCGUAGAUAUCAGAGGGAACAUCAGUGGCGAAGGCGGCUUUCUGGACCAAUACUGACGAUCAGGUGCGAAAGCGUGGGGAGCAAACAGG
This 253-nucleotide ribosomal RNA is filed under the name uncultured bacterium. Its description in RNAcentral is "partial 16S ribosomal RNA". It matches the Rfam family "Bacterial small subunit ribosomal RNA", at positions 524 to 776 of the family's 1533-position model. The record is from RNAcentral.